This 1928-nucleotide unclassified non-coding RNA is filed under the name Leishmania donovani. RNAcentral describes it as "gene:LdHU3.34.1410(CDS-product:elongation_factor_ 1-beta)". The record is from RNAcentral. Lineage: Eukaryota; Euglenozoa; Kinetoplastea; Trypanosomatida; Trypanosomatidae.
UUUACGCCGUCCACACGCUCUUUUCGACUCUCCUAGCUCUUUCUCCCCCCCUCCCGACCACCCCGUACCCCCGCGCGCACCCCAACAUGUCUCUAAAGGACGUGAGCAAGAAGGCCGCCGAGCUGGAGUCGAAGCUGGGCGGCAAGCUGUUCCUGGGCGGCGCGAAGCCGACGGCGGAGGACGUGAAGGUGUUCAACGACCUGCUCGGCGCGAACCACGUGAACCUGUACCGAUGGGCGAAGAACAUGGCGACGUACACCGAGGGCGAGCGCAAGGCGUGGGGCGGGCCGGUGCGCGUUGCUGCGCCGGAGCUGCGCAUGCCCGCGCCGGCGGCGGCGAAGGCGGUGAGGUCGGAUGCUGCUGCUGAGAAGAGGGCUGCGCCGAAGGCUGCUGCUGUUGCGCCGCCGUCUGCCGCUGCCGCGGAGGAGGACGACGACGACAUCGACCUGUUCGGCGAGACGACGGAGGAGGAGAAGGCAGCGCUGGAGGCGAAGAAGGCGAAGGACGCGGAGAAGAAGAAGGCGAAGAAGGAUGUGAUUGCGAAGUCGUCGAUCCUGUUCGAUAUCAAGGCGUGGGACGACACGAUCGACCUGGAGGCGCUCGCGCAGAAGCUGCACGCGAUCCAGCGCGACGGCCUGAUCUGGGGUGACCACAAGCUGGUGCCCGUUGCGUUUGGCGUGAAGAAGCUGCAGCAGCUGAUCGUCAUUGAGGACGACAAGGUGUCCGGCGACGACCUGGAGGAGAUGAUCAUGGGCUUCGAGGAGGAGGUGCAGUCGAUGGAUAUCGUCGCCUGGAACAAGAUCUGAGGUAAUUCGGAAAAGGCGCGACGGAUAGGCUGUGACGGACGGAGCGCGAGUGGUACUGCGCGUUCGUCAGCGAGGCCUCGUCUCGGGAGUGGGCGGAGGGUAGCCGCUGUUUCUUGUGCGAUGACAGCGAUUAGUCGGAGAGUUUUUUUCGCGGCGCACAGGGUGGUAGCGGGACACUUGCCGCAUGGUUACCAAUCUGCAAGACGGACGAGCUUGUUUUCGUCUGUCUUCGUUUGGAGGCCGCCGUGCAAGGCAGCGAUUCCUCGUCGUUGAACCCUCCCCCACCCCACCCCCAAGGCAAUCGCAUGACGCACUGAUAAUCUUUGCCGAAUCAUGGUGUGUGAUUGGUUGGGCAAGGGGGCGCGUGUUUCACUCGUGCUUGCCGUGCAUGUUGUCGACCGUCUCUUCGAGCCGCGCUCGCCCCGCAGCAGUCUUCCUUUUGUUUGCUGUUGUAAUUUUUGGUGCUCGCAACGCACUGUUUUCUUGUUUUCCUGCCGGCUUGUUUUCCACGUCCUAUAAGGUAAGCAGAAGACAGGAAAACGGAAACGCACGUAAACAGCGUAGACGUACACGUGUCGUUGGAAUGUGGGCGCGCCGAUGUGUGUGUGUGUGCGGGUCUGUGUGGUGUAUUGGUUUCUCUAGUGGCGAGAGGGAGGGGUAGGGACGUACAGAGUGCAUGCCUACCGUUUGCGGGCAGCUGUCGAUGGUGUUACGCUAUAAGCUGUGAAAGCCUCUGCACCGUCAUCUGGUGCGCAUGUCUUCGGCGUCUCGCUGCCUGCUUCUUCUUGAGCCCUUUCUCUAGCUGCCACGCUUCGACUUACACAUAAGCAACACGGGGCACGCCCACGAUCCACAACGGGUGCUCUGUGAACACCAAGGUAUGAACUCUAUCCGAUAAAAAAGAAAAACAUCGCAGCCACAACAACAGCAGCGCGGCAAACAUACCGAACGAGCAUCAUGGUUGUUUUCUGAGAGAAGAAAAAAAACAUAAAAAGGCAUCAGAGAUGAGCCAGCCUUGAAGCGAAGGAAAGAGACUAAUCUCUCACUCUCUGUGUGCGUGUGAGGGGAGGGGAGAGGAGGAGCUUGAGAGAGAGAGGCGGGACGCAGUCGCCAGUGAGGUGG